GCCCUCGUAGUUCAACGGAUAGAAUGCGAGCUUGCGGAGCUUGCGAUCGAGGUUCGAUUCCUCGCGAGGGCACAA
RNAcentral lists this transfer RNA (75 nucleotides) under Candidatus Giovannonibacteria bacterium RIFCSPLOWO2_01_FULL_46_13. RNAcentral describes it as "tRNA-Arg". It matches the Rfam family "tRNA". From Rfam's summary of the family: Transfer RNA (tRNA) molecules are approximately 80 nucleotides in length. Their secondary structure includes four short double-helical elements and three loops (D, anti-codon, and T loops). Further hydrogen bonds mediate the characteristic L-shaped molecular structure. tRNAs have two regions of fundamental functional importance: the anti-codon, which is responsible for specific mRNA codon recognition, and the 3' end, to which the tRNAs corresponding amino acid is attached (by aminoacyl-tRNA synthetases). tRNAs cope with the degeneracy of the genetic code in two manners: having more than one tRNA (with a specific anti-codon) for a particular amino acid; and 'wobble' base-pairing, i.e. permitting non-standard base-pairing at the 3rd anti-codon position. Lineage: Bacteria; Candidatus Giovannoniibacteriota. The record is from RNAcentral.